Molecule: ribosomal RNA, 253 nt
Filed under: uncultured bacterium
Lineage: Bacteria
Description: partial 16S ribosomal RNA
Rfam family: Bacterial small subunit ribosomal RNA
Source: RNAcentral
UACGUAGGGGGCAAGCGUUGUCCGGAUUUACUGGGCGUAAAGCGCACGUAGGCGGAUCGUUAAGUCAGGGGUGAAAUCCCGGAGCUCAACUCCGGAACUGCCUUUGAUACUGGCAAUCUAGAGUCCGGAAGAGGUGAGUGGAACUCCUAGUGUAGAGGUGGAAUUCGUAGAUAUUAGGAAGAACACCAGUGGCGAAGGCGGCUCACUGGUCCGGUACUGACGCUGAGGUGCGAAAGCGUGGGGAGCAAACAGG